Small nuclear RNA from Varanus komodoensis (Komodo dragon), 112 nucleotides. The record is from Ensembl. NCBI's taxonomy places the organism in Eukaryota, Metazoa, Chordata, Lepidosauria, Squamata, Varanidae.
GUGCUCGCUUCGGCAGCACAUAUACGAAAAUUGGAACGAGACAGAAAAGAUUAGCAUGGCCUCUGUGCGAGGACGGCAUGCAAAUUCAAGACAGAAAUAGAUCGAUAUAUUU